Molecule: transfer RNA, 69 nt
Filed under: Mico humilis (Roosmalens' dwarf marmoset)
Lineage: Eukaryota; Metazoa; Chordata; Mammalia; Primates; Cebidae
Description: tRNA-Pro
Rfam family: tRNA
About the family: Transfer RNA (tRNA) molecules are approximately 80 nucleotides in length.
Source: RNAcentral
CAGGGAGUAGUUUAAUACUAGAAUAUCAGCUUUGGGUGUUGAUGGUGGAAUUAAAAAUUCUCUCCUUGA